AGGACGAACGCUGGCGGCGUGCUUAACACAUGCAAGUCGAGCGGUAAGGCCUUUCGGGGUACACGAGCGGCGAACGGGUGAGUAACACGUGGGUGAUCUGCCCUGCACUCUGGGAUAAGCCUGGGAAACUGGGUCUAAUACCGGAUAUGACCUGCUCUCGCAUGGGGGUGGGUGGAAAGAUUUAUCGGUGCAGGAUGGGCCCGCGGCCUAUCAGCUUGUUGGUGGGGUAAUGGCCUACCAAGGCGACGACGGGUAGCCGACCUGAGAGGGU
Molecule: ribosomal RNA, 271 nt
Filed under: uncultured soil bacterium
Lineage: Bacteria
Description: partial 16S ribosomal RNA
Rfam family: Bacterial small subunit ribosomal RNA
Source: RNAcentral